RNAcentral lists this small nucleolar RNA (63 nucleotides) under Oryza rufipogon (brownbeard rice). RNAcentral's name for it is "snoRNA snoZ175". It matches the Rfam family "Small nucleolar RNA Z175". From Rfam's summary of the family: Z175 is a member of the C/D class of snoRNA which contain the C (UGAUGA) and D (CUGA) box motifs. Most of the members of the box C/D family function in directing site-specific 2'-O-methylation of substrate RNAs. The record is from Rfam by way of RNAcentral. Lineage: Eukaryota; Viridiplantae; Streptophyta; Magnoliopsida; Poales; Poaceae.
GUGGCAAUGAUGAGAAUGCAAUUCUAUGAUGUACUUUGAUUUUUCUAUGAUGCUCUGAGCCAU